This 466-nucleotide ribosomal RNA is filed under the name uncultured Megasphaera sp. RNAcentral's name for it is "bacterial SSU rRNA". It matches the Rfam family "Bacterial small subunit ribosomal RNA", at positions 338 to 795 of the family's 1533-position model. The record is from RNAcentral. Lineage: Bacteria; Bacillati; Bacillota; Negativicutes; Veillonellales; Veillonellaceae.
CCUACGGGUGGCAGCAGUGGGGAAUCUUCCGCAAUGGGCGAAAGCCUGACGGAGCAACGCCGCGUGAGUGAAGACGGCCUUCGGGUUGUAAAGCUCUGUUAUAGGGGACGAACGGCCGGGUAGCGAAGAGGUAGCCGGCAUGACGGUACCGUAAGAGAAAGCCACGGCUAACUACGUGCCAGCAGCCGCGGUAAUACGUAGGUGGCAAGCGUUGUCCGGAAUGAUUGGGCGUAAAGGGCGCGCAGGCGGCUGUGUAAGUCUGUCUAGAAAGUGCGGGGCUAAACCCCGUGAGAGGAUGGAAACUGGACAGCUGAGAGUGUCGGAGAGGAAAGCGGAAUUCCUAGUGUAGCGGUGAAAUGCGUAGAUAUUAGGAGGAACACCGGUGGCGAAAGCGGCUUUCUGGACGACAACUGACGCUGAGGCGCGAAAGCCAGGGGAGCAAACGGGAUUAGAUACCCUUGUAGUC